UACGAGGGGGGCAAGCGUUGUUCGGAAUUAUUGGGCGUAAAGAGCUCGUAGGCGGUUUGUCGCGUCGAAUGUGAAAACCCGGGGCUCAACCCCGGGCCUGCAUUCGAUACGGGCAGACUAGAGUUCGGUAGGGGAGUCUGGAAUUCCUGGUGUAGCGGUGAAAUGCGCAGAUAUCAGGAGGAACACCGGUGGCGAAGGCGGGACUCUGGGCCGAUACUGACGCUGAGGAGCGAAAGCGUGGGGAGCGAACAGG
This 253-nucleotide ribosomal RNA is filed under the name uncultured bacterium. Its description in RNAcentral is "partial 16S ribosomal RNA". It matches the Rfam family "Bacterial small subunit ribosomal RNA", at positions 524 to 776 of the family's 1533-position model. The record is from RNAcentral.